GACAGAGGGUGCAAACGUUGUUCGGAAUUACUGGGCGUAAAGCGCGUGUAGGCGGCUCUGCAAGUCGGAUGUGAAAUCCCACGGCUCAACCAUGGAAGUGCAUUCGAAACUGCAGGGCUAGAGUCCUGGAGAGGAAGGUGGAAUGCUUGGUGUAGAGGUGAAAUUCGUAGAUAUCGAGAGGAACACCUGCGGCGAAGGCGGGUUGCUGGGCUGAUACUGACGCUGAGGCGCGAAAGCCAGGGGAGCGAACGGG
This 253-nucleotide ribosomal RNA is filed under the name uncultured bacterium. RNAcentral describes it as "partial 16S ribosomal RNA". It matches the Rfam family "Bacterial small subunit ribosomal RNA", at positions 524 to 776 of the family's 1533-position model. The record is from RNAcentral.